UGGAAAUGAUUCCAGCCAUGGUCCCC
This 26-nucleotide non-coding RNA is filed under the name Homo sapiens (human). Lineage: Eukaryota; Metazoa; Chordata; Mammalia; Primates; Hominidae. The record is from RNAcentral.